CACGGCGCUGGGCCUGCUGCUAAGCUUUCAGACUAGAAGUAGUCUCAGUUUGCCGUGGCCAAAAUGUCUUUGUUCAGCUUCUAUGGGUUUGUACAAAUCCUUACCUCAAUUGUUUAUCUCUCGUUAGUAGAGUUUUAGAGGAUUUAUCAUUCAAGCCUUCAAAAAUUCUGGAAUGGGUAAUUACUGUGAUUAAUUUUUUUUUAGACAGGUUUUAGUCUGAAGUGUUUGACUCAGAUUCACAAUCCUCCUGCCUCAGCGUCCCAGGACUGGAGUUACAGGCAUGUGUCACCGUGCCAGGUCUCCUAGAAGAGUCACACCAUGGCCACCUUGGAAUAAAAAGGAAUCAGUCCGACUCCAAGAGGCAGGUGUUUUUAGUCUCAGCCCAGAGUUUGCUCAUGGAGAGCCUGAGUAGGGCAAUUAUCAACAGGAUCAUCUCUCCAGGACCAUAGCUGUAGCUGUCCCUGUGGAUUUUAGCAUGGUGAUGGACGGGAAGAGCAUCCUUGUGACUACAGCAAAGACACCCAGUUCCCUGGACAGCUGAUGUGCAGCUGCGGCCCCAGGGCCCCAGGCUCACUCACCGGUGCUGCUCUGGAUG
Molecule: non-coding RNA, 595 nt
Organism: Peromyscus maniculatus bairdii (prairie deer mouse)
Lineage: Eukaryota; Metazoa; Chordata; Mammalia; Rodentia; Cricetidae
Source: RefSeq, a predicted model, not a curated record